AAAGGUUCCCUCAGAAUGGUUGGAAAUCAUUCGUAGCGUGCAAAGGCAGAAGGGAGCUUGACUGCGAGACCUACAAGUCGAGCAGGGACGAAAGUCGGGCUUAGUGAUCCGGCGGUGCCGUAUGGAAGGGCCGUCGCUCAACGGAUAAAAGCUACCCCGGGGAUAACAGGCUUAUCUCCCCCAAGAGUCCACAUCGACGGGGAGGUUUGGCACCUCGAUGUCGGCUCAUCGCAUCCUGGGGCUGUAGUCGGUCCCAAGGUUGGGCUGUUCGCCCA
RNAcentral lists this ribosomal RNA (275 nucleotides) under Terribacillus saccharophilus. Its description in RNAcentral is "partial 23S ribosomal RNA". It matches the Rfam family "Bacterial large subunit ribosomal RNA", at positions 2312 to 2587 of the family's 2925-position model. Lineage: Bacteria; Bacillati; Bacillota; Bacilli; Caryophanales; Bacillaceae. The record is from RNAcentral.